GUAAUAGCUCACUGGUCGAGUCGGCCUGCGCGGAAGAUGUAACGGGGCUAAACCAUGCACCGAAGCUGCGGCAGCGACGCUGAUGCGUUGUUGGGUAGGGGAGCGUUCUGUAAGCCUGCGAAGGUGUGCUGUGAGGCAUGCUGGAGGUAUCAGAAGUGCGAAUGCUGACAUAAGUAACGAUAAAGCGGGUGAAAAGCCCGCUCGCCGGAAGACCAAGGGUUCCUGUCCAACGUUAAUCGGGGCAGGGUGAGUCGACCCCUAAGGCGAGGCCGAAAGGCGUAGUCGAUGGGAAACAGGUUAAUAUUCCUGUACUUGGUGUUACUGCGAAGGGGGGACGGAGAAGGCUAUGUUGGCCGGGCGACGGUUGUCCCGGUUUAAGCGUGUAGGCUGGUUUUCCAGGCAAAUCCGGAAAAUCAAGGCUGAGGCGUGAUGACGAGGCACUACGGUGCUGAAGCAACAAAUGCCCUGCUUCCAGGAAAAGCCUCUAAGCAUCAGGUAACAUCAAAUCGUACCCCAAACCGACACAGGUGGUCAGGUAGAGAAUACCAAGGCGCUUGAGAGAACUCGGGUGAAGGAACUAGGCAAAAUGGUGCCGUAACUUCGGGAGAAGG
This 611-nucleotide ribosomal RNA is filed under the name Escherichia coli. RNAcentral describes it as "partial 23S ribosomal RNA". It matches the Rfam family "Bacterial large subunit ribosomal RNA", at positions 1134 to 1746 of the family's 2925-position model. The record is from RNAcentral. Lineage: Bacteria; Pseudomonadati; Pseudomonadota; Gammaproteobacteria; Enterobacterales; Enterobacteriaceae.